This 485-nucleotide ribosomal RNA is filed under the name uncultured bacterium. Its description in RNAcentral is "partial 16S ribosomal RNA". It matches the Rfam family "Bacterial small subunit ribosomal RNA", at positions 899 to 1397 of the family's 1533-position model. The record is from RNAcentral.
ACUCAAAUGAAUUGACGGGGACCCACACAAGCGGUGGAGCAUCUGGUUUAAUUCGAUAGUAAGCGAGGAACCUCACCAAGGCUUGACAUCCCGGGAAGUCUGCCGAAAGGCGGAUGUGCCGCAAGGAACCUGGAGACAGGUGCUGCAUGGUUGUCGUCAGCUCGUGCCUUGAGGUGUUCGGUUAAGUCCGUAAACGAGCGCAACCCUUGUCCUAAGUUGUAUUUUUCUUAGGAGACUGCCGGCUCUAAGUCGGAGGAAGGUAAGGAUGACGUCAAAUCAGCAUGGCCCUUAUGCCUUGGGCCACACAGGUGCUACAAUGGCAAGUACAGUAGGACGCAACGAGGAAACUCCUAGCAAAUCCUUUAAAACUUGUCCAAGUUCGGAUUGAGGGCUGCAACUCGCCCUCAUGAAGUUGGAAUCGCUAGUAACCGCGUAUCAGCCAUGGCGCGGUGAAUAUGUUCCUGGGUCUUGUACACACCGCCCGU